GGGGAUUUAGCUCAGUGGCAUAAAGUGCCUGCCUUGCAAGCAUGUGGUCAUGAAUUCAAUCCCCA
RNAcentral lists this transfer RNA (65 nucleotides) under Cavia porcellus (domestic guinea pig). It matches the Rfam family "tRNA". Rfam says of the family: Transfer RNA (tRNA) molecules are approximately 80 nucleotides in length. Their secondary structure includes four short double-helical elements and three loops (D, anti-codon, and T loops). Further hydrogen bonds mediate the characteristic L-shaped molecular structure. tRNAs have two regions of fundamental functional importance: the anti-codon, which is responsible for specific mRNA codon recognition, and the 3' end, to which the tRNAs corresponding amino acid is attached (by aminoacyl-tRNA synthetases). tRNAs cope with the degeneracy of the genetic code in two manners: having more than one tRNA (with a specific anti-codon) for a particular amino acid; and 'wobble' base-pairing, i.e. permitting non-standard base-pairing at the 3rd anti-codon position. Lineage: Eukaryota; Metazoa; Chordata; Mammalia; Rodentia; Caviidae. The record is from Rfam by way of RNAcentral.